This 494-nucleotide ribosomal RNA is filed under the name uncultured bacterium. RNAcentral describes it as "partial 16S ribosomal RNA". It matches the Rfam family "Bacterial small subunit ribosomal RNA", at positions 28 to 507 of the family's 1533-position model. The record is from RNAcentral.
GACGAACGCUGGCGGCGUGCUUAACACAUGCAAGUCGAACGGUGAAGCGCCUUCCUUUUUGGUGGGUGUGGAUGAGUGGCGAACGGGUGAGUAACACGUGAGUAACCUGCCCCCUUCUUCUGGAUAACCGCAUGAAAGUGUGGCUAAUACGGGAUAUUCUGGGUCUGUCGCAUGAUGGGUCUGGGAAAGAUAUUGUUUCGGUGGGGGAUGGGCUCGCGGCCUAUCAGCUUGUUGGUGGGGUGAUGGCCUACCAAGGCGGUGACGGGUAGCCGGCCUGAGAGGGUGGACGGCCACACUGGGACUGAGACACGGCCCAGACUCAUACGGGAGGCAGAAGUGGGGAAUAUGGCACAAUGGGCGCAAGCCUGAUGCAGCGACGCCGCGGGAGGGAUGGAGGCCUUCGGGUUGUGAACCUCUUUCGCCAGUGAAGCAGGCCUGCCUCGUUUGUGGGUGGGUUGACGGUAGCUGGAUAAGAAGCGCCGGCUAACUACGUG